RNAcentral lists this ribosomal RNA (428 nucleotides) under uncultured bacterium. RNAcentral's name for it is "bacterial SSU rRNA". It matches the Rfam family "Bacterial small subunit ribosomal RNA", at positions 355 to 775 of the family's 1533-position model. The record is from RNAcentral.
UGGGGAAUAUUGGACAAUGGGCGCAAGCCUGAUCCAGCAAUGCCGCGUGUGUGAAGAAGGCCUGCGGGUUGUAAAGCACUUUCAGUGGGGAGAAAGAAGCUGUUCCUAAUAUGAACGGCGGAUGAUGUUACCCACAGAAGAAGCACCGGCUAACUCUGUGCCAGCAGCCGCGGUAAUACAGAGGGUGCAAGCGUUAAUCGGAAUUACUGGGCGUAAAGGGUGCGUAGGUGGUUACGUAAGUUAGAUGUGAAAGUCCUGGGCUUAACCUGGGGACGGCGUCUAAUACUGCGAAGCUAGAGUACUGUAGAGGAAAGUGGAAUUUCCGGUGUAGCAGUGAAAUGCGUAGAUAUCGGAAGGAACAUCAGUGGCGAAGGCGACUUUCUGGACAGAUACUGACACUGAGGCACGAAAGCGUGGGGAGCAAACAG